This 895-nucleotide unclassified non-coding RNA is filed under the name Hevea brasiliensis (rubber tree). Lineage: Eukaryota; Viridiplantae; Streptophyta; Magnoliopsida; Malpighiales; Euphorbiaceae. The record is from RNAcentral.
UGAUUUUUUUUUUUUUUAUUUUAUUGAGUUGUUUAGAGUUGUUGGAGUUGCUAGGGUGUUGGGUGCACAUUAAAGGUCCUUAAGGAGUGCUUAAUUUGUUACAAUUGUGUGCAAAUUUGGCUUGUUUCAAUAAUUGGCUGAAUUGCAUCAUUGUUAUUAUUCUGAUUGUUAUUUCUUUGUUGAUUGUAACUCUUUAAGGCACAUCAUUAUUUUAUUUAACCAAAGUCUUCAUUGAAUCAUGGCCUCUCCUUUUCUUUGCUACUACUACCUAAAUCAGGUUCACCCUUCUGCACCAAUAGACUAAUACAAAAAGAAGUGAUGAUAGAGAAGAGAAACAUGUAGGGUACAUAGAAGGAAUCACUUCCCAUAAAUUUUCACAUCAUUGGUUUAUGAAACUUAUUUCAUUUUCUUUAUGCCAGUCAACAAGGGCAGAGCCAGAAAAUUAGGUUAGUGGAGUCAAAAAAAUUUUAUUUUACUCGAUUCAAAAGAAAAAUAUUAUGUAUAAUAAUAAACUAUCUACUAAAAGAGAAAAAAGACAUAAUGCAUGCAAAUUUUCAAUAUAUAAUAAUUAUAGAGUAAAAAAGAAAAAUAAUUUCAUAAAAUAAUAAAUUCUCGCUAUAAUUUUAAAUUUAUCCUCAAAAUAUAAAUAUUAUUGCAAAUAAUUUCAAAGAAUAAUAAAUUCUUCCUUAAUCUUACCAUUUGCCUCCCAAAGUAUAACAUAGAGUCGAUAUGACUAUUAGUGUCGCCAUUACCUACCAACAUUAUUUUAAAUAAUUACAGCUUAUAUUAUAAAAUGGAUUAUUGGCUUCCCGCUAAUUUUAAAAUUUUGUAGAGUUUUAUCUAUGAAAACAAUUUUAAAAACAUAAUUAGAAGAAACAAAACAAACAAACAAACA